This 253-nucleotide long non-coding RNA is filed under the name Felis catus (domestic cat). Its description in RNAcentral is "lncRNA (ENSFCAG00000047960.1)". Lineage: Eukaryota; Metazoa; Chordata; Mammalia; Carnivora; Felidae. The record is from RNAcentral.
AACUUUGUUUUCUCCACGGGGAAUCAAUUUUUAAUCUAUGUAGUCACCGAACUUUUCCUUGUCUCUCAUAGAAAAUUGUGAGUUUCUGGGAAGGCUUUGGACCUCUGUGACAGACCUCAGACCUCAAGGACACAGAUAACUUGAAAGUUGCAUAACCUAUACUAUGUGCUGAAAAGACUAGUGAUUGGCACUGAGCCCACAACUUUGUGGAGCACAGCAUCAAUGGGGAAGACAAACAUGUAAGUCUUAUGUG